Molecule: ribosomal RNA, 333 nt
Filed under: uncultured eukaryote
Lineage: Eukaryota
Description: partial 18S ribosomal RNA
Rfam family: Eukaryotic small subunit ribosomal RNA
Source: RNAcentral
CCCUUAGAUGUCCGGGGCCGCACGCGCGCUACACUGAAGGAAUCAGCGUGGCUUUCUCCCUGACCCGAAAGGGUUGGGAAACCCGUUGAAUCUCCUUCGUGAUAGGGAUUGGGGCUUGAAAUUGUUCCCCAUGAACGAGGAAUUCCCAGUAAGCGCGAGUCAUAAGCUCGCGUUGAUUACGUCCCUGCCCUUUGUACACACCGCCCGUCGCUACUACCGAUUGAAUGGUUUAGUGAGAAUUUUGGACUGGAACUCCCUUGCUCAGCAAUGGGCGAGGGGGAGUCCGGGAAGCUAUUCUAACUGUAUCAUUUAGAGGAAGUAAAAGUCGUAACA